ACUCCUACGGGAGGCAGCAGUAGGGAAUCUUCCACAAUGGGCGCAAGCCUGAUGGAGCAACACCGCGUGAGUGAAGAAGGGUUUCGGCUCGUAAAGCUCUGUUGUUAAAGAAGAACACGUAUGAGAGUAACUGUUCAUACGUUGACGGUAUUUAACCAGAAAGUCACGGCUAACUACGUGCCAGCAGCCGCGGUAAUACGUAGGUGGCAAGCGUUAUCCGGAUUUAUUGGGCGUAAAGAGAGUGCAGGCGGUUUUCUAAGUCUGAUGUGAAAGCCUUCGGCUUAACCGGAGAAGUGCAUCGGAAACUGGAUAACUUGAGUGCAGAAGAGGGUAGUGGAACUCCAUGUGUAGCGGUGGAAUGCGUAGAUAUAUGGAAGAACACCAGUGGCGAAGGCGGCUACCUGGUCUGCAACUGACGCUGAGACUCGAAAGCAUGGGUAGCGAACAGGAUUAGAUACCCCGUGGUAGGAUA
This 472-nucleotide ribosomal RNA is filed under the name uncultured bacterium. RNAcentral describes it as "bacterial SSU rRNA". It matches the Rfam family "Bacterial small subunit ribosomal RNA", at positions 335 to 797 of the family's 1533-position model. The record is from RNAcentral.